AGAGAGAGAGAAGAUAGGGGAAGGGCAGAGAGAGAGGGAGACACAGAAUUCGAAGGAGACUCCAGGCUCUGAGCUGUCAGCAUAAAGCCUGACGCGGGGCUCGAACCCACGAACCGCGAGACAGUUGGACGCUUAACUGACUGAGCCACCCAGGUGCCCCAGAUUAGCUACAUUUCAAUGUUUGCACCCACUUGUAGUUUCACUUGGGCUUAGUUUUUGGGAGAUUCUCUCUUCCUGCUAUUACCCCAGAUCAGACCCUCACUCCUUUUCACCUAGAAUUACUACACUGACCUAACUAGUUUCGUGGCAAGUCUAUCUAUUCCUUCCAUCAGUUUACUCCAUCUUGUAUAUAAACCCGCCAGACUGACUUUACUAAGAUACUGCCUUGUUGAUGCUAUUCUUAUUUAAAUCAAAAUGUCAUCUUGGUAUUCAAGUCCCUGGAUGGAGAGAUCUCUCUACCUAUCUUACCUCAUUUCUCCAGCAGGGAUCCUCCAUUCAAUUCACUUCUGUAUUCUCCAGUAUGUCAAGCUCACCCCUUCAGGUGGUUCUUCACCCUGGCUGCACUUAAGAAUCACAUGGGAAGGGGGUGCUUGGGUGGCUCAGUCGGUUAAGAAUCUGACUCUUGAUUUCGGCUCAGGUCAUGAUCUCAUGGUCUGUGAGUUCCAGCUCCACACAGAGCCUGCUGGGAUUCUCUGUCUCCCUCUCUGUCUGCUCCUCUCCCACUUACAUGCUCUCUUUCAAAAAUAAACAUUUUUUUAAAAUAAUCAUAUGGGAAGAUUAACAAUAUCAACAACAAAACCCCAAACAAACAGAAAGCACCUCUUUUUCGGACUAAACCAAAAAUGAAUUCACAUAAGAGAGGACAAUCUUCAUAGGUUACCAAGGAAGGAGGCUCCUGGUUAAACGUUGGCUCCCAUAACCCACUCUUAUUUGUCUGAGAUUGGUAUUUCUUUUGCUUUGGCAGACUAUUUCCUUUGACACUUGAAACCCUGAGAGAUUCCCGAGAGAAUGAGACCUACAAGCAGGAUGUUUCUUGGGAGACAUUCCUGAAGGGUGGCAAGGAUCAGAAACAGGCUCCAGUGGUGGGGCCACUCAACAUCAACUCAACUCAACCUAAUUUGUAUUUUUGCUUUGGAGUGGUAAGGAAUCAAUCAAACAACAAAGGUCAAGAGACUCCUGUGUCUUGUAUCUCUCCAGAGAGACUUCUGCAGCAGAAAUCUGAAAACGAUUUCUUUCAAAGUCAGCAUCUAAUUAUAAGUCAAGCUGCUCCUACUCACUGGGGCCCGAUUCCAGUGAUUCCUAAAUGUUCCAAGAUCAUCUUCCAGCUCAGAGGCCCGCCCUGAAAUCCUUCAUGACGGAGGGGUGAAGGGAGGUGAGUCCUGUCGUUUUGCUUGCCCAUAUGUUGUGGAUAUUGCUUCCCACUUGGAUAAAGGGUUCAAGUAGUUAUUUCCUACUCAAGACAUCUUAAGUGUCGCACCCUCAGGGACAUUUGCCGUGAGCUCUCUAAGGUUGAGUUGAAUGCUCCUCUUAUGGGUUCCACACACCACAUGCUUAUUGUUAAUGAGGAAAUAAGCCCAGCUGACAUUAUUGAGCAUCUAAUAUGUUCAUGGACUAGGCUAAGUGUUUUACAUGCAUUAUCUUAUUCAACCUUUGCCACAAAAUCCUAUAAUAAGCACUUAAAAAAAAUUUUUUUAAUGUUUAUUUUUGAGAGAGAGAGACAGACAGACAGAGUGCGAGUGGGGAAGGGGCAGAGAGAGGGAGGCACAGAAUCUGAAGCAGGCUCCAGGCUCUGAGUUAUCAACACAGAGCCUGACACAGGGCUCGAACUCACGAACCGUGAGGUCAUGACCUGAUCCGAAGUCGGACGCUUAGCCGACUGAGCCACCCAGGCGCCUCUAUAGUAAGCACUUUUUAAAAGAUAUUUUUAAGUGUAUUUAUUUGUUUACUUAUUUUGCGACAGUGUGAGAGCACGAGUGGGGGAGGAGCAGAGAGAAAGAGGAGAGAGAAAAUCCCAAGCAGGCUCUGAGCUGUCAGCACAGAGCCAGGUUCGGGGCUCCAUCUCACCAACAGUGAGAUCAUGACCUGAGCAGAAAUCAAGAUUCGGACGCUCAACCUACUUAGCCACCCAGGCACUCCUAUAAUAAGCACUUUUAUUAUUAUUGCCAUUUUACAGAAGAGGAAACUGAGGGACAGCUCAAGGUAACAGCUGGUAGGUGGCCAAGCCAGGACUAAAAUGCCAAUUUAUCUGAGGCUGGAGUUCUUGCUCUUUUCUUUUCUUUUCUUUUUUAGUUUAUUUAUUUAUUUUGAGAGAGAAAGAGAGGGAGAGAGAGAGAGAGAAAAAGGGUGAGUGGGGGAGGGGCAGAGAGAGAGAGAGAGAGAGAGAGAGAGAGAGAAUCCUAAGUAGGCUCCGUGCUGUCAGUGCAGAGCCCAAUGUGGGGCUUGAACUUACGAAUGGUGAGAUCAUGACCUGAGCUAAAGGCAGACAACCAACUGGCCCACCCAGGUGCCCGGCCCCUGCUUUUUAAAGUUUAUUUGUUGGAUCUGCUGCUCUUAAGUACUGUGCUUUACUAUUUGCCUCUAAUAGGGUCUUUACCAACACCCUGCUGCAAUGGUCUAGGUAAACCCUGAACCCUAGAAAGUUAGCUCUAUCAUGGGAGGAAGCAGAUCUCCUGUAGAUCCCCCCCUGCCUAACCAUCUAAAUAAAGCAGGUCCUGGCACAGAAACUGGCAUUAAACGCUCCAGUUGAAAAACAUUCUGAACAAAGAGAAAACAAAACCCUAGGCUUCCACCAGGUGGUGGCGUGGGAGUCCAAGAGAAACGUGCCCUCGGGACUCUUCCUUUCCCACUCCUUUCCCACAGAAUAUCCCAAGCAUUCUCACUGUUUUCUUUCCCUUUCCAGAGAAAAGCGAGUUGGUGGGAGGAACAGUUUUGAGAUAAUGUUCAGGCAUGUAUUGACACACAUCUGACAAUUUAAUUUAUGACCUUAUGCUUUGGCCCCAAAGGGAAGGUUGAUUCUACUCCACCCUUUCAGAUUUAUGCACUUCUUUGAAAGACCUCAAAGUGGUUUGCAGACUCUUGUCACCAACGAAAAGUCAGAAAUAAAAUCUGAAUUGCACAAAUCAUUGAAGAAGGCUGUGCUGUGGCGUAGAAAGUCUCCCUGGCUGGAUUCAGAUGACUCUGCCAUGAACUAAUGGGGGACUUCAGGCAAGUCCCUUCUCUCUGGACCUCCAUAUCCUCAGCUGAAAAAUAAGGAGGUGAGAUGAGGCUUCUAACACAGAAGUUUUCCACCCCUCCACCCCCCCCCCCCACCCUACCAGCGUCUGUACAAAGGACAUUAUACAGCAGCAUUAUAGCAUGGCAGUAAUAAAGAUUAAGGACUCUGGUUCAAGUUUCAGCUUGGCCACCUACAAGCUCUGGGGUUUGGGGCAAGUUACUUAACCUCUCUGGGCCUCAGUUUCCUCAUCUGUAUAAUGGGAAUGGUCCUGUACGUCCCUCACAGGGUUCUUGCAAGGACUGAGUGAGGUAUAAAGUCUUAUCUCAGUGCUUGGCACACAGCUAUUCACUGAAUAGCUUUCAGUGAAAACUAUUGUCACACAGAACCGAAUCUCGCGUUUUAGCAACUCUAUCUACACUUAGUUUGGAUGUGCAUUUAGUCAUCAGCAAAAUAGGGGGAAGGCUUUAAGUAAUAAACCACAGUCAGGCUUGGCCCUUUCAGAAGUGUAAGGGCAAAUGCGUUUCGUGAGUACAAAGCAAGGCUAAAAGUAACCACAAUCAGUUGAAAUCUUCAUACAUUGUUGGUAGGAGUAUACAAGAUACAAACACUUUGGGAAACAGUCUGGCUGUGUCUUCUAAAACUCUUUUUCCUAUGACCCAGCAUUUCUACCCCUAGGUAUUUACCCAAGAAAAAGUAAAACAUAUGUCCACAAAAACACUUGUAUGAAAACAUUCUUAGCAGCUUUACUUUUUUUAAAAAAAGAUUUUAUUUUUAAGCAAUCUCUACAUCCAGCAUGGGUGCUCAAAUUCACAACCCUGAGAUUGAGAGUCACAUACACUAUAAGCUGAGCCAGCCAGGCACCCCGCAGAUUUACUUUUAAUAGCAAAAACUGGACUUCCAUCAGCAGGAGAAGGGAGAAUGGAUAAGCAAACUGAGCUAUGAUCACAACAUGGAGUAACACUCGGCAAUCAAAAGGAGUAAACCACUGGGGCGCUUGGGGGGCUCAGUUGGUUAAGCAUCUGACUAUUGAUUUUUGGCUCAGUUCAUGAUGUCACAGUUCGUGAGAUCGAGCCCCAUCUUGGGCUCUGUGCUGAUAGCACGGAGCCUGCUUGGGAUUCUCUCCCUCUCCCUUUGCCCCUCUCCCCCUUGUGCUCUCUCGCCCUCAAAAUAAAGAAAUAAACAAAUCAAUGAAAGGGGCUAAAUACUGUAUAUACAAUGACAGGGAUGAUUCUCAAAAACAUCAGGCUGAGUAAAAGAACUCUUAUACAAAAGAAUUCAUACUAUAUGUUUCCAUUUAUAUGAAGGUCUGUAACAGGCCAAACCAACCAAUGAUGGGCAAAAAAUCAGAAGAGCGGUUGCCUCUGGGGGUGAAGGGAAGGGAAAAUCUGAGAAGGGAUAAGAGGAAGCCUUCUUGAGAGAUGAUAGUGUUUUAUAUUUUAGUAGGUGGUUAAGUUACACCGUUACAUUUGUCAAAACUCAGCAAAGGUACAAUGCUUGUGCAUUUCAUCUUAUGUAUAUUUUACCUCAAAAGGAAAACAAGAAUAAGCGCAUAUUGAAUUCAAGUUAAGGAUAGGCAUGUGGAAAGUGCUUAGGAGUGGGGACGUGUACUGGUGUCUGCAGUUUCAAAAAGACAAAAAGACAGUGGACAGACGGAGAGAUGGAUAGCUGAUGGAUGAAUAAAGGCUAGGAUAGGAAAACAUUAGUGGUGGAAUCUAACCAGUAAGUAACAAGGUAUCCACUGGAAAAUUCUUCCAACUUUGCUGUGUGUUUCAAAUUUCUCAUAAUGAAGUUUUUCUUUUUGGAAAAAAAAAUGUAACCACAAGGUUUCGUAUCCUGCAUGGAGUGAUUGUGGUUUUUUUUGUUUGUUUUUUUUUUGUUUUUUUGUUUUUUUUUUUUUACAAAUGUAAGAAGGCUUCAUUGGAGGAAGGCAGACCACAAACCUAGGCAAAUAUUUCCUGAGCACCUGUGAUACACCAGGCACCGUGCCAGACUAGGCCAAGGCUACAAAGAGGAAGAACAUAGCACUUGCCCUCGAAGGGUCUGUAGGGACCAUCUGACAAACACACAUGUCACUGUCAUCCUACACUGUGGAGAUGCUAAGGUGAGUGAAAUUUCAUCUAGUAGAAAAAGCAUCUUAAUUAUUCUUACCACAAAAAAAGAAGUGAUAAGAAUGGAACGUGAUUGACGUGUUAGGUAACACGACAGUGGCAAUCAUAUUGCAAUAUAUAAAUAUAUCGAAUCAACACACUAUAUACCCUGAACUUACAUAAGGUUAUAUGUCAAUUAUAGCUCAAUUAAAAAAUAGUAACUAAAAAAGGAAAAGUGCCUGGCAUUGAAGACAUGUGGGUAGUAUUGCUGCAAUAUGAUUGGAAGGCAUUUCCAAGCCAGAACCCACAGAGAGUCUCUCGAAGGCCACACUGAGGUGAUAAUUUGGCGAUCCAGUGGGGCCCAUUCAAGAAUUUUAAGCCAACAAGUAACAUCCUUGGAAAAUUGCUGGGAGAAAGGGGGCAGCCACAAUAGAUAUCUUUGCUUUAGGGGGGUUGGCAGGCAAGGGAGCUUUUCAUGUACCUUCGAUGAGCAGAGGGAACUGAUGGAAGCUCUCAUGGGGAGGAGGGAAGUUCAGAAUGACCCAGGGCACAAAGGGAUGAGAUUCUGGUUUCACCUUCAUGGAAACAGGCAGCUGUUUAGUCUAUGCCCCUCUCUUCCUCCUUUGCUCCAUGAUGUUGUGGCUCUGUAAGGCUAUAAUGGUUAUUUAUAGCUCGCAUCUAUUCUUUUUUUUUAAGUUUUUAUUUAUUUAAGUAAUCUCUACAUAUACAAUGUGGGGAUCCAACUCACAACCCUGAGACCAAGAGUUUCAUGCUCCUGUUAGUGGGAAUGCAAACUGGUGCAGCCGCUCUGGAAAACAGCAUGGGGGUUCCUCAAAAAAUUAAAAAUAGAACUACCCUACAAUCCAGCAAUUGCACUACUAGAAAUUUAUCCAAAGGAUUAAAAAAUGCUGAUUGGAAGGGGCACAUGCACCCCAAUGUUUAUAGCAGUGCUAUGAACAAUAGCCAAAUUAUGGAAAGAGCACAAAUGUCCACUGAGUGAUGAAUGGAUAAAGAAGAUGUGGUGUAUAUAUACACAAUGGAAUAUUACUCAGUGAUGAAAAAGGAUGAAAUCUUGCCAUGUGCAACAACGUGGACGGAACUGGAGGGUAUUAUGCUAAGGGAAAAAAGUCAGUCAGAGAAAGUCAGAUAUCAUAUGAUUUCACUCAUGUAGAAUUUGAGAAACACAACAGAUGAAUAUAGGGGAAAAGAAGGAAAAAUAGGAUAAAAACAGAGACGGAGGCAAACCAUAAAAGACUCUUAAAUACAGAGAACAAACUGAGGGUUGAUGGGGGUGGGUUAAACGGGUGACUGGGCAUGAAGGAGGGCAUUUUUUGGGAUGAGCACUGGGUGUUGUAAGAGAUGAAUCACUGGUUUCUAUUCCUGAAGUCAAGACUACACUGUAUGUGAACUAGAGAUUUAAAACAAACAAAAAAAAGUGUUGUGCUUUUCUGAUUGAGCCAGCCAGGCACCGCUGGCCAGCAUCUAUUCUGAUUGUUAGUCUACUCUGAAUGGUCAGUUCCCAAGACAUAAUGAUGUUAAAUAUUUUUUAAAAAAUUUUAAUGUUUGUUUAUUUUUGAGAGAGAGAGAAAGAAAGAGUGCGAGCGGGGCAGGGGCAGAGAGAGGAGACACAGAUUCUGAAGCAGGGUCCAGGCUCUGAGCUGUCAGCACAGAGCCCCAUGCGGGGCUAGAACCCAUGAACGAUGAGAUCAUGACCUGAGCUGAAGUUGGACACUUAACCGACUGAGCCACCCAGGCGCCCUGCUGUUAAAUAUUUUUAACAUCACUCCUACCCACCUCAUAGGGUUGCUGCAAGGUUAAUUAAUAUAAUGUAUGUAAUCUGCCCAGCACAUGCUAAGUCUUCAAUAAAUGAGGUCAGGGAACCAUAUCUGAUGCUCCAGUUUGUGGCUUGGAUAUAGGGUGACCUCAGCACAAGCCCACCAAGACCCCCAAUAGUCUCUAAAGAAGGCACUUGAAGCCCCUGAGGCCCAUUCCAACCCACACAUAUUGUGAUCUUUAUCAAACCCAUCUCCACCCCACCCCCCACCCAAAUACCAUGCAUAUUCCUAUGGAACAACUGAGAAGCCCCAGUUGGACCCAGUCAGUCUCUCAUUUAUUCUCCUCUGUCUUUUGAGAAUGGAUCUGCUGUGGCGGCUGGCAGGCCACACCCUCAAGAUGGUGCCACCAGGAGCACGUAGGGCAGGUUGCCAAAAAGGGCCCGUUAUGGGUUUGCCAGCCUUCUGGACUCUAACAGGGCUUACCAUCUGUGCCUGUCCUUUGGCAAAAUUACUUCCCUCUGUCGACACACUCGAUUGCCAUCCAGGAAAUAAACAGCCCUGACACCAUGCUCCAGCCCCCUGGGAACUGAAUCCAACACGUCCAGCACUUGGCAUUGAAGUGAAGCAAUGAAGUCUAUCAGAACUCUGGGCCGUCUAAGCUUCUCCAGCGGCUGCCAGGGACUGCUCACUUCACGGAGCCAGCGGGCUUGCCCUCGCUGCCAGGCGGGCCGCGGCAGUUCCAGCUUCCUGUUGCCUUAGGGACCGAGACAAAGAAAAAUGAAGAGACCCCAGACAUCUUUCCCCUCCCUCCUUCUUGCAGCAGGGAGCUAGCAGGACACUAGGACCAGUCUGUGGGCUAGAAUGGACUUCAUGGGGACUGAAGGGGGAGGGAAGCUGCAAGGGGAGGGGAAGAUCUAUGACCCUAACUGUAUGCCUUUCUUGCAUCCCGCUGUCAUCCCAAAAGUAACUGGCCUGAUUUUUAGCAGCGUGGCCAUCUUCUGGUGUGGGUAACCGUCCCUGGGUGUGUCACCUCCAUACCUCCAAAUGCCUCCCCUGUAUCGAUUCAGUUGCCAUUGCAGCUGUGUGCUUCAUGUAUGGAACAGGAGGCUCAGACAUUUCCCUCCCCUGUAACCUGGGGAAUAUCAGAGGCAGGUAAUAAAGGUUGUUUAAGCAAUA
Neofelis nebulosa (Clouded leopard) is the source of this 8252-nucleotide long non-coding RNA. RefSeq lists it as uncharacterized. NCBI's taxonomy places the organism in Eukaryota, Metazoa, Chordata, Mammalia, Carnivora, Felidae. The record is from RefSeq and is a predicted model, not a curated record. The transcript is spliced from 4 exons.